UGUGCCUACGGGAGGCAGCAGUAGGGAAUAUUGCUCAAUGGGGGAAACCCUGAAGCAGCAACGCCGCGUGAGUGAGGAAGUAUUUCGGUAUGUAAAGCUCUAUCAGCAGGGAAUAGAAAAGAAGGUACCUGAAAAAGAAGCCCCGGCUAACUACGUGCCAGCAGCCGCGGUAAUACGUAGGGGGCAAGCGUUAUCCGGAUUUACUGGGUGUACAGGGAGCGUAGAUGGAAAGGCAAGGCAGAAGUGAAAACCCAAGGCUCAACCAUGGGACUGCUUUUGAAACUGUCAAACUAGAGUCCGGGCGA
Molecule: ribosomal RNA, 305 nt
Filed under: uncultured bacterium
Lineage: Bacteria
Description: bacterial SSU rRNA
Rfam family: Bacterial small subunit ribosomal RNA
Source: RNAcentral